AUGGUUAGGUUGCUUCGCACCAACGACGACGGAUGGUACUAUGCAGAGGUGGUAUUAGAACACAACCACGAGUUGGCAGACAAUGUCGGUGAAAGAAAGUUAUGGAAGUGCCACAAGUACGUCGACGCAUCUAUGAAGGACAUUGUUAGGCACUUGCGUUCUAACAAUGUUUCACUGACCAAGGUAUAUGGGGUGAUGGCCGACAUUCAUGGUUCACACAAUGAUGUCCCAUUCCGUAAAAGGUCUCUCAAAUCCAUGUGUGCGUCCAUAGCUCAAGAAUGUAGUCAGGAUGAUAUCAACAAGACACUGGCUUUAUUCACAAGCAUGCAGGCAGAGGGCACUGGAUUCUUUUUCGCAGUAAAAAAAGAUGAGCAAAGAAGGGUGUCUGGUCUGUUUUGGUGUCACCAAAAGAGCAGGGCCGACUACAGUUUCUUCGGAGACGCCAUGACAUUCGACACAACUUACAAGAGCAACCUCUAUGAGAUGCCAGUUGGUCUAUUCGUCGGAGUCAAUAACCACUAUCAAUGCUGCCUGUUUGGUUGUGUUUUCCUGCGUGAAGAGACUGUAGAGUGAUUCAAGUGGGCAUUUGAAACAUUCCUAUCAGCAAUGGGCAACAAACCACCAAAAACAAUAUUAACUGACCAAAGCAAGCAAAUGGAGCUUGCUAUUGCUGACGAGAUGAACUCAUCCAAACAUGUUUGGUGCAAAUGGCAUGUUUUAAAAAAGAUGAGGGAGAAAGUAGGGAGCAUGUACAGGAAUGGCACUCCUUUUAGGAAUGAUUUCAACAUUCUAAUAAAUGAGAUGAUGACAGUUGAAGAGUUUGAAAAGGAAUGGCAGGAGAUCAUGACACAUUAUGGACUUGAAACAAACUCAUUUUUGCAUCAGGUUUAUGAUUGUCGUUUCAAAUGGGCCAAGCCUUAUCUCAAGGGAGACUUCUGUGCAAAAAUGUGUAGCACACAAAGAAGCGAGUGCAUGAACAACCUGCUCAAGUGUUAUGUCUCCAGGUCGGCACCAAUAAACAUAUUUUUUCAACAGUACACAAAGAUGCUUGCCGACAGAUGUGAAGAGGAAGACUUUGAAAUCGCUCACUCAAAGAAGCAAAUCCCAGCUAGGUACAUUCUGAAGAGAUGGACCAAAGACGCUAGAGAUAAUAUGCCAGAUCACCUAAAGUGUUAUCAGAAAGAUGCGAGCAUCUAGGUGUCGAAGACUUUCAUGCACAACAUAAUGUACAUCAAGGCAUUGGAG
This 1245-nucleotide ribosomal RNA is filed under the name Triticum aestivum (bread wheat). Its description in RNAcentral is "partial small subunit ribosomal RNA". The record is from RNAcentral. Lineage: Eukaryota; Viridiplantae; Streptophyta; Magnoliopsida; Poales; Poaceae.